Molecule: long non-coding RNA, 522 nt
Organism: Carassius gibelio (silver crucian carp)
Lineage: Eukaryota; Metazoa; Chordata; Actinopteri; Cypriniformes; Cyprinidae
Exons: 3
Source: RefSeq, a predicted model, not a curated record
AGGCCAGAGCCAUAUAGAGUGAGAGUUGCGACAACUCCAUUGACUCCAAUGGAACGCUUUUUUUACAGCAAUGGCGGCUCGUGGAGCCUCUCAAUAGUUCCCGGAAGUAGCGGCAAACCGAUGCCGCGCCGUAGAAGAUGCAGCAGAACAAACCGUUUGCAACGCACUUUUAACAGACCCUGGUAUCUGGCUGAUGGUUCACUGGAAUGCUGACUGGCUGCUGACUGACUUGCUGCUGGUUGACUGGGCAGUGUCACCUGUCCCUGUCUCUCCUCUCUAGCCAUGUCCUUUUUCUUCACUCUCACUUUCCCUUCUCUGAGUGUCCUCGUUCUUUUUUCCUCAACCUUUGAAACUGAUAGAGGUCUAGGGGUGCAUCGUGGAGCAGGGCCCUCCUCUUUUUGACCACAGGACGGUGUACAAAGAUUGUGGGAAUAGCAUCUGGUCUCAGCCUACUCUUGAAUUUUUUGGUCAUGACAAAUUGCUUUGCCACAAUUUGUCUGCAUACUGACUUCAGUUUAGUUU